UGACGUCAAGUCCUCAUGGCCCUUACCAUCCCGGGCUACACACGUGCUACAAUGGCAGGUACAGAGGGCUGCGAAGCCGCGAGGUGGAGCGAAUCCCAGAAAACCUGUCUCAGUCCGGAUUGAAGUCUGCAACUCGACUUCAUGAAGGCGGAAUCGCUAGUAACCGCGAAUCAGCAGGUCGCGGUGAAUACGUUCCCGGGCCUU
This 204-nucleotide ribosomal RNA is filed under the name uncultured Latescibacterota bacterium. Its description in RNAcentral is "uncultured Latescibacteria bacterium partial 16S ribosomal RNA". It matches the Rfam family "Bacterial small subunit ribosomal RNA", at positions 1180 to 1382 of the family's 1533-position model. The record is from RNAcentral. Lineage: Bacteria; Pseudomonadati; Candidatus Latescibacterota.